Molecule: ribosomal RNA, 643 nt
Filed under: Acinetobacter sp.
Lineage: Bacteria; Pseudomonadati; Pseudomonadota; Gammaproteobacteria; Moraxellales; Moraxellaceae
Description: bacterial SSU rRNA
Rfam family: Bacterial small subunit ribosomal RNA
Source: RNAcentral
ACCAUGCAGUCGAGCGGGGGAGAUUGCUUCGGUAAUUGACCUAGCGGCGGACGGGUGAGUAAUACUUAGGAAUCUGCCUAUUAAUGGGGGACAACAUCUCGAAAGGGAUGCUAAUACCGCAUACGCCCUACGGGGGAAAGCAGGGGAUCACUUGUGACCUUGCGUUAAUAGAUGAGCCUAAGUCGGAUUAGCUAGUUGGUGGGGUAAAGGCCUACCAAGGCGACGAUCUGUAGCGGGUCUGAGAGGAUGAUCCGCCACACUGGGACUGAGACACGGCCCAGACUCCUACGGGAGGCAGCAGUGGGGAAUAUUGGACAAUGGGGGGAACCCUGAUCCAGCCAUGCCGCGUGUGUGAAGAAGGCCUUAUGGUUGUAAAGCACUUUAAGCGAGGAGGAGGCUCUCUUGGUUAAUACCCAAGAUGAGUGGACGUUACUCGCAGAAUAAGCACCGGCUAACUCUGUGCCAGCAGCCGCGGUAAUACAGAGGGUGCGAGCGUUAAUCGGAUUUACUGGGCGUAAAGCGUGCGUAGGCGGCUUUUUAAGUCGGAUGUGAAAUCCCCGAGCUUAACUUGGGAAUUGCAUUCGAUACUGGGAAGCUAGAGUAUGGGAGAGGAUGGUAGAAUUCCAGGUGUAGCGGCGAUAUG